GAUGAAGAACGUAGCGAAAUGCGAUAAUUAAUGUGAAUUGCAGAAUUCCGUGAAUCAUCGAGUCUUUGAAUGCACAUUGCGCCUCAUGGCAUUCCGUGAGGCAUGCCCAUCUCAGCGUUAGAAAAUAUUCUCAAAUUUUAGUUUUGUGCUAAAAUUUGGAUCAUGUCAAGGAAGCUAUUACUAUUAUUGUGAUCGCUCUUUGGAAAUUGAUAGGUCUUUGAGUUGCUACUCAUAGAACGUGAUGAAUCUUUCUUCGUUCUAUUGUAAUUCACUCUGGUAGUCCUAAAACUUGUAUGCCUGUGGCAUAUCUUGUAAUUUGACCUGAGAUUGGGUAGGGAUACCCGCUGAACUUAAGCAUAUCAAUAAGCGGAGGA
This 374-nucleotide unclassified non-coding RNA is filed under the name soil metagenome. RNAcentral's name for it is "partial contains internal transcribed spacer 2 and large subunit ribosomal RNA". The stretch from base 1 to 120 matches the Rfam family "5.8S ribosomal RNA", at positions 35 to 154 of the family's 154-position model. The record is from RNAcentral.